CAGUAGCCACGGUAAAACGAAGGGGGCUAGCGUUGUUCGGAAUUACUGGGCGUAAAGCGUGCGCAGGCGGUUUUAUAAGACAGGCGUGAAAUCCCCGGGCUCAACCUGGGAAUGGCGCUUGUGACUGCAAAGCUAGAGUAUGGCAGAGGGGGGUGGAAUUCCACGUGUAGCAGUGAAAUGCGUAGAGAUGUGGAGGAACACCGAUGGCGAAGGCAGCCCCCUGGGCCAAUACUGACGCUCAUGCACGAAAGCGUGGGGAGCAAACAGGAUUAGAUACCCGCGUAGUCCCUGUCUCUUAUAA
RNAcentral lists this ribosomal RNA (301 nucleotides) under uncultured bacterium. Its description in RNAcentral is "partial 16S ribosomal RNA". It matches the Rfam family "Bacterial small subunit ribosomal RNA", at positions 509 to 809 of the family's 1533-position model. The record is from RNAcentral.